UCAUCCCUACGGGGCGCAGCAGUGAGGAAUAUUGGUCAAUGGUCGGGAGACUGAACCAGCCAAGCCGCGUGAGUGAAGAAGUAAUUCGUUAUGUAAAGCUCUAUCAGCAGGGAAGAAAAUGACGGUACCUGAGUAAGAAGCCCCGGCUAACUACGUGCCAGCAGCCGCGGUAAUACGUAGGGGGCAAGCGUUAUCCGGAUUUACUGGGUGUAAAGGGAGCGUAGACGGCAGUGCAAGUCUGGAGUGAAAGGCGGGGGCUCAACCCCCGGACUGCUCUGGAAACUGUACGGCUGGCGUGCAGGAGG
Molecule: ribosomal RNA, 305 nt
Filed under: uncultured bacterium
Lineage: Bacteria
Description: bacterial SSU rRNA
Rfam family: Bacterial small subunit ribosomal RNA
Source: RNAcentral